Tripterygium wilfordii is the source of this 457-nucleotide long non-coding RNA. RefSeq lists it as uncharacterized. Lineage: Eukaryota; Viridiplantae; Streptophyta; Magnoliopsida; Celastrales; Celastraceae. The transcript has 2 exons. The record is from RefSeq and is a predicted model, not a curated record.
UCUCUCCGUCCUCGUGGUUCGCUCAUCUCUUCAUCGCCCCCGUCUCUCCGUCUUCACCCUGCCGCCUAUUUCUCUCUCACGUGAAGCCUCUCUCUUUCGAGUGCACUCCGUCUCUCUCAUCACCAUGAAGAAAUUUCUCCUGGUCAUUAUUAUUGCUGUUGUUGCUGCCUCACUAUUAUUCAUGUCAUCGAUUUAUGAAUCCGCUGGCGAUGGAUUCACGAAGCCAAAACAUGCGGUGAGUGUACACAGUGCCUCAAGAUCUGUCAUGGAUGACCCUCGUACUCACGUUAAUCCUAGUACUAGUUGGCAUGGUGGAAUUAACGAUCGUGAUGGACACUAAAAUAUGCACUGCGAGGCAGUGACUUCGAUGUUGACGACCCAAAUAAGAACUACUUUAAUCGCUUUAAUUACUCACUUGCGCAGGGUCUUCCUAUAUAGAAAGUUUCUACUUGUUGUC